AAAAAAGUAGCGAAGUUGGCGAUUCCGGCUGUCGAGAAAAGCCGCUAUUGUGUGAUACAUGCCCGUACCGUAAACCGACACAGGUGGAUGAGGAGAGAAUCCUAAGGCCGGCGGGAGAAGCAUUGUUAAGGAACUCGGCAAAAUGACCCUGUAACUUCGGGAUAAAGGGUGCCUGCGCAAGCAGGCCGCAUAGAAUAGGCUCAAGCAACUGUUUAGCAAAAACACAGGUCUAUGCAAAACCGAAAGGUGAGGUAUAUGGGCUGACGCCUGCCCGGUGCUGGAAGGUUACGAGGAGAGGUUAGCGCAAGCGAAGCUUUGAAUCCAAGCCCCAGUAAACGGCGGCCGUAACUAUAACGGUCCUAAGGUAGCGAAAUUCCUUGUCGGGUAAGUUCCGACCCGCACGAAAGGCGUAAUGAUUUGAGCGCUGUCUCGACAAUGCACCCGGUGAAAUUGAAGUACCAGUGAAGAUGCUGGUUACCUGCGCCAGGACGGAAAGACCCCAUGGAGCUUUACUCUAGUUUGAUACUGGGAUUCGGUAAUGCAUGUACAGGAUAGGUGGGAGGCUGAGAGAGGAGAACGCCAGUUUUCCUGGAGCCGGUGUUGGGAUACCACCCUUGCGUUACUGGGUUUCUAACCUGCAGCCGUGACCCGGCUGGGGGACAAUGUCAGACGGGGAGUUUGACUGGGGCGGUCGCCUCCGAAAGGGUAUCGGAGGCGCUCAAAGGUUCCCUCAGGAUGGUUGGAAACCAUCCAAAGAGUGCAAAGGUAGAAGGGAGCUUGACUGCGAGAGCGACGGUUCGAGCAGGUACGAAAGUAGGACUUAGUGAUCCGGUGGCAUAAAGUGGGAUUGCCAUCGUUCAACGGAUAAAAGCUACCCUGGAUAACAGGCUUAUCACUCCCAAGAGUUCACAUCGACGGAGUGGUUUGGCACCUCGAUGUCGGCUCAUCGCAUCCUGGGGCUGAAGUAGGUCCCAAGGGUUGGGCUGUUCGCCCAUUAAAGCGGUACGCGAGCUGGGUUCAGAACGUCGUGAGACAGUUCGGUCCCUAUCCGGCGUGGGCGUAGGAUAUUUGAGAGGAGCUGUCCUUAGUACGAGAGGACCGGGAUGGACUGACCUCUGGUGUAUCGGUUGAGUAUCAGACUCAUGGCCGAGUAGCCAAGUCGGGACGGGAUAAACGCUGAAGGCAUCUAAGCGUGAAGCCCCCCUCAAGAUGAGAUAUCCCAUACGCAAGUAGUAAGACCCCUUGAAGACGACGAGGUAGAUAGGGCAGAGGUGGAAGCGCGGUAACGCGUGGAGCUGACUGUCACUAAUAGGUCGAGGGCUUGACC
RNAcentral lists this ribosomal RNA (1327 nucleotides) under metagenome. RNAcentral describes it as "bacterial LSU rRNA". It matches the Rfam family "Bacterial large subunit ribosomal RNA", at positions 1576 to 2925 of the family's 2925-position model. The record is from RNAcentral.